UGCACCUGCGCAGGCUCCACCUGCCUCGACCUUUGGUGGGAGCACCUCCCUGCCCCCAACGCUCCCCAGCCACAUCCUGCCCAAAGGUGGGAGCCAGGGGCCACUCUAGCCGGACUGGUGAAGCUCCUCCUCCAAGGGCUCAUGGAACAGUCGGGAAACUGAGGCCAGGAGAGGCAGGGACUGGUCGGGGACCCACCAGGUGAGCAGAGCCUAGAGGGGCUGGAGGAGGUUUCGGGCUCCUAGGCCAGGUAUUCACUUUCCCAGGUGGUUUUCAAGGGAAUGAGAGCCUCUAAGAUCCUGGAGGACCACUGAACCCACCCCAUGUGGGGUCCUUUCCUCUGGGCAUCCCCGAGUGGGCACAGGUCCACGCAAUUGCAUGGAAACACAGUCCCCCGCCCCCCAGUAACUAACCACCCGCGUGGGGGUCAAAGGAUGAGUGGACCCUGGAGGUGACAGGGGUUGGGGGAGAGAAGAGGUGUGGGGCGGGGACAUUGUCUCCAGGGAACAUGCCCAUGAGGGCAGCCACGCCAGGCUAAUGGCCAGGGGAUCCCCAAAUGUCCCCGUGUGUAUCACAGGCACCCCCAUUCUACAGAAGCACCCCACUCAGCUCCCGUGGUUGGAGACCUUCGAAUGCGCAACGUGUUCUCAUGCUGUGUCCUGAUAUCUCGAGGCUGUGGUCUCAGGAAAGCCCACAGGGAGAGCCUUUUCCCACUUGCAGACGGUGGGUCCGGUCUCACCCCCAAAGCCUGUGGUCACGUGCCCACAGGGACGCAAAGGUGACAAGGUGAGGAAGCAGAGGUCCCCAGAGACAGCUGUGACGGGCUCCCGACUCUGGGAGAGAGUCCUCAGGCAGAGAGGAGGGACCGGGGGCUCCAGCGGGACGCAAUCAGCCUGCCGGGAACCAGCCCCUCCGGCUGCAGGUGCACUCAGGUGGCAGAGGGACCUGAACGGGACAGCGGUGCGUGGCCGGCCUCGCUUUCCCCAUCCAAGGCCAACGUCCUCUGCAGCCCUUGCCACACCGCCCCUCGUCUCAAAGCAAAGUGGUCUCUUCACUCAGGUUCCCUGGUGCCCGUUCAGGACAAGGAUGCCUCCCGGGAAGAAAGAGGAGAACCGACGGGGCUCACCCAGCCCGGGGGCCCUGGCAGACAAGCCAGCACUUGGCCUGUGGGCCACGGCCCUCUCCUGCCCCCACCGGCACCGUCUGCCCUCUGUCCCCUGACCCCACCUCCCAGGAGACGAAUCCAGCCAGAGGACCGCCUCGGGGCCGGCCUGGGAAGAGCUGGGUGGAAGGACAGGUGAGGGAAGACACAAGGGGUGUUCUCGACUCCCAAAUCUGACGACCGAA
Molecule: long non-coding RNA, 1345 nt
Filed under: Felis catus (domestic cat)
Lineage: Eukaryota; Metazoa; Chordata; Mammalia; Carnivora; Felidae
Description: lncRNA (ENSFCAG00000047625.1)
Source: RNAcentral